Molecule: ribosomal RNA, 428 nt
Filed under: uncultured bacterium
Lineage: Bacteria
Description: bacterial SSU rRNA
Rfam family: Bacterial small subunit ribosomal RNA
Source: RNAcentral
UGGGGAAUAUUGGACAAUGGGCGAAAGCCUGAUCCAGCAAUACCGCGUGUGUGAAGAAGGCCUUAGGGUUGUAAAGCACUUUCAAUUGGAAGGAAAAAAGUGAGGUCAAUACCCUCACUCUUGACAUUACCUUUAGAAGAAGCACCGGCUAACUCCGUGCCAGCAGCCGCGAUAAUACGGAGGGUGCGAGCGUUAAUCGGAAUUACUGAACGUAAAGCGUGCGUAGGCGGCUCGUUAAGUCAGAUGUGAAAGCCCUGGGCUCAACCUGGGAACUGCAUUUGAAACUGGCGAGCUAGAGUUUGAGAGAGGUAAGUGGAAUUUCAGAUGUAGCGAUGAAAUGCAUAGAGAUCUGAAGGAACACCAAUGACGAAGGCGACUUACUAGCUUAAAACUGACGCUAAGAUACGAAAGCGUAAAUAACAAACAAG